RNAcentral lists this long non-coding RNA (2929 nucleotides) under Mytilus galloprovincialis (Mediterranean mussel). Lineage: Eukaryota; Metazoa; Mollusca; Bivalvia; Mytilida; Mytilidae. The record is from RNAcentral.
GUGUAUUGGUCCCAACUUCAACUACAACUACCUAAUUUGUUCUAAAUAAUCUUUCUAUAUGAUAAGAUCAUUACAAUAAACGUAAUAACCAUCAAACUGUUUAGAUUGAAUUUUAUUUUAUUGUGCAGCUACAAUCAGUGAGGUGUCUACAACAAAGUUUAUGUGUACAUCAGAUUAAACGGAACCGUGAACAAGAAAAUAUGACUAUUUUGUUAACAAUUCAUGUUCUUUUCCAGAAAUAAUCAUACGUUUUUUUUUCUCAUUUCUAAAUGAAUGACUGAAUUACAGACUUAUUUUUGCCUCAAUUAAUCCAUGCACAGUUUACAUCUAAAACAAGACAUACUGUGUUUUACAAAACUAAACAGGGCAACGCCAUGAUCAAUAACCAAUAACCAACCAAUAACAAAACAAUGCACAGAAAAAGUAAUGUGAACCCAACCAAAAACCUGAGUUGAAGACAGGUGCCUCUGAAGGGUAACAGUCAAUGUACUGUAAAUUCAGCAUUAUUGCAAGGUUUUAAUUAAUGCGAAUAAUGCGACUGACUGAGUAUCGCAAUAAGAAGAACUCGCAUUCUUAUAUCUGAUACAUACACCUGGAUGCAGAUCUUCUUGACAUUGCAAUAAUUAAUCUGGCACUUUUGUCCAUUUUUCAAAGAUCGCAAUAAUAAAUGCACGCAAUAAUUUCUGAAUUGACAGUACUUAUUGCAAGUAACAAUGGUGAAAGAUUGCAUUGGGUAAGCUCACAAUCAAAGAAAAUAGGACAGGAUUUUAGUGGAACAUAUUCUUGAAUAUCUGGGACACAUAUAUGUUAUAACAGUCAACCAAAUCAUAAUGGUGUCCUAAUAUUUUGUUAAAUUUUAAAAAGGGAUGUUUUGAACUUGACCAUUUGGAAUUUUUCAUGCAAGAGUUUCUUGUAAUUCUAUCAAGAUACUCCUGAUAGGGAACACAAACCAUUGAAUACACAACAAACACAAACAGUCUCACACACAUACUGUUGGUCUAGUUUUGAGCCUAACACACAUGACCAUACUAUUAUACCUGUCUCAAGUCAUCAGCCUGUAACUAUUGCUUAAAGUCUUCUUAUAUUUUGCAUUUCACUCAAUUUUAUUGACAUUAAUUAUUCUAUAAGGGACAGAUUUAUUUAUUUCACAGUUUGAAAUUUUAUUGUUUGUUGUCAUCUCUAAUGUAGAUGUUUAUUUGCAGAGGUUUUACUCUUAGAUUAGAUAGAUCUCAUAGGCCAGAGUUCGCGAAAAGUGUCAGUCCUCAGGAUUUCACCACCAAAAUUUUGCAUAGGACUGACACAAUUUUAGUAUUUUUCAAUAGAUAAAUAGUGGGGACCAGCAGAUUUUCUUCAAGGACCACCAGGGGGGAAAAGAUUUUGCGAACUCUGAAUUAGGCAAUGCUAUUUCUUCUAUCUACACACACAAAGUUUCUUGUAAAGUUUGAUAAUAUUAUUGUAUGCAUUUCUUUCUCAAAGCUAUUUAAUCUGAUGCAUUUGUAAAUAUGUUUAUACAUAUAAAAUAGCACAAAUUUCUAAAAAAUGAAAUAACUAUAAAAAUGGUGAUAAAAUCUAAUACAAAUUUAAAUACAAUUAUGAAAAUAAAAUGCACUAUUUAAGUCAAUAACAAAGAAAUAUACAAGAUAUAAGCAAUAUUUAAGUAAAAUGUUCUGUAAAUGUAUCAUUAUCAUAUCAACACUGAACAAAACAUUUCAUCACAAAAUAUGAAAAAAACAUGUGUAAUAACAAUUAAUAAAAAAACAACUAUUCAUAAAUAUUGCCAAUUUUUUUAAUUGUACUAUAUUAUGACAGUAGACAAUAUACACCUUUUAAGAAACUAUUGGAUAAAGGAUAUGUUUAAAAAGGAAAAACAUGUACAUUGCAUUUUCGAUUUAUCCAUAAUAUGUAUAAAAAACCUUGACUGCUUGAAGAUCAUGGACAAUCAAUGACAGAAUUAGCAUUUAAUUCAGAUGUUAAAAUAGACCAGUAAAGAUCACUUUCUCUUUAUUUCUCCUAACCUUCGUUAAUAUAAAAAAGAAGAUGUGAUAUGAUUGCCAAUGAGACAACUCUCCACAAGAGAUCAAAAUGACACAGAAAUUAACAACUGUAGGUCACAGUACGGCCUUCAACAAUGAGCAAAGCCAACACCAUAUAGUCAGCUAUAACAUGCCCCAAAAUGUAAUGUUAACUCAUAGAUAAACUAUGACAACAUUGUAAUUCCUUGAUGAUUAUUCUCUUAAAUUAAUACUAUGUAAUGAGCACCAUGAGGGAUAGAAGAAGGAACACAUAAAGGACAAAAAGACAAGUAAAUACCUACAAUCACUUUCAAGAAAUUCUAUUUAUUGCAGAAACAUUUUUAUGAAUAUUUUGAAUUCAUAUCAUGCUAAAAGAGAAUUUUUUACAUUAAUAUUGCAAAACUUUUAACAUACUUAAGUCAAACAUACUCUCCAUUUUCAUUGCUAUAAUUGUUGAAUUGUUGAAUUAGAAACCCCUCAACUCCUUUUUAUAAGACCAAUACCUUUUUGAAAGGUAAGAAUGUCAUAUAUCAACAGUCCUUUUUGUUUACACUUCAUCAGAUGUAGCUGUUUUAUUAAUGUCAACAAAUUAGGAUUUUUUUCUAAUUUAAGGAAAGAUUUUUAGAUUUUUCAACUUAGUUCCGUCUUCUCCAUUUGUUUAUUGCAAAAACAUAGAAACACAUCAUUAUAAAACUAUAAAUAGAAUAUCUGUCUGUAUAAAAUCUGGAAUCAUAAUAAUAUCAGAUUAUUACAUGGCAUUUUUCAUAUCGCAUGUAUUAUCAGCCCUAGGUUCAAUAUCAGCCCAAGAGCCGCAUGGCUCGAGGGCUGAUAUUGACCGAGGGCUGAUAAUACAUGCGAUAUGAAAAAUGACAUGUUAUGAUCUUUUUAUCAUAUGCUUCAACAGUAGAGAAAAAUAG